This 435-nucleotide ribosomal RNA is filed under the name uncultured bacterium. RNAcentral's name for it is "partial 16S ribosomal RNA". It matches the Rfam family "Bacterial small subunit ribosomal RNA", at positions 29 to 507 of the family's 1533-position model. The record is from RNAcentral.
AGCGAACGCUGGCGGCAGGCUUAACACAUGCAAGUCGAGCGGGCACUUUCGGGUGUCAGCGGCGGACGGGUGAGUAACGCGUGGGAACGUGCCCUCUGGUUCGGAAUAACUCAGGGAAACUUGAGCUAAUACCGGAUACGCCCUUUUGGGGAAAGGCUUGCUGCCGGAGGAUCGGCCCGCGUCUGAUUAGCUAGUUGGUGAGGUAACGGCUCACCAAGUCGACGAUCAGUAGCUGGUCUGAGAGGAUGAUCAGCCACACUGGGACUGAGACACGGCCCAGACUCCUACGGGAGGCAGCAGUGGGGAAUAUUGGACAAUGGGCGCAAGCCUGAUCCAGCCAUGCCGCGUGAGUGAUGAAGGCCUUAGGGUUGUAAAGCUCUUUUAUCCGGGACGAUAAUGACGGUACCGGAGGAAUAAGCCCCGGCUAACUUCGUG